RNAcentral lists this ribosomal RNA (550 nucleotides) under uncultured bacterium. RNAcentral's name for it is "bacterial SSU rRNA". It matches the Rfam family "Bacterial small subunit ribosomal RNA", at positions 356 to 896 of the family's 1533-position model. The record is from RNAcentral.
GGGGAAUCUUCCGCAAUGGGCGAAAGCCUGACGGAGCAACGCCGCGUGAGUGAAGACGGCCUUCGGGUUGUAAAGCUCUGUUAUACGGGACGAAUAAUCUUGUGGUUAAUACCCAUGAGAAGUGACGGUACCGUAAGAGAAAGCCACGGCUAACUACGUGCCAGCAGCCGCGGUAAUACGUAGGUGGCAAGUGUUGUCCGGAAUUAUUGGGCGUAAAGGGCGCGCAGGCGGCUUCUUAAGUCUGUCUUAAAAGUGCGGGGCUUAACCCCGUGAUGGGAUGGAAACUGGGAAGCUCAGAGUAUCGGAGAGGAAAGCGGAAUUCCUAGUGUAGCGGUGAAAUGCGUAGAUAUUAGGAGGAACACCAGUGGCGAAAGCGGCUUUCUGGACGAAAACUGACGCUGAGGCGCGAAAGCCAGGGGAGCGAACGGGAUUAGAUACCCCGGUAGUCCUGGCCGUAAACGAUGGGUACUAGGUGUAGGAGGUAUCGACCCCUUCUGUGCCGGAGUUAACGCAAUAAGUACCCCGCCUGGGGAGUACGGCCGCAAGGUUG